RNAcentral lists this ribosomal RNA (499 nucleotides) under uncultured bacterium. Its description in RNAcentral is "partial 16S ribosomal RNA". It matches the Rfam family "Bacterial small subunit ribosomal RNA", at positions 28 to 507 of the family's 1533-position model. The record is from RNAcentral.
GACGAACGCUGGCGGCGUGCUUAACACAUGCAAGUCGAACGGGCCCGCCCCUGUUUUUGGGGGUGGGUUGAGUGGCGAACGGGUGAGUAUCACGUGAGUAACCUGCCCCCUGCUCCUGGAUAACUGCUUGAAAGGGCGGCUAAUACGGGGUGUGCCGGCUGGUCCGCAUGGGCCUGGUCGGGAUAGUUUCAUCUUCGGGUGUUUCGGUGGGGGAUGGGCUCGCGGCCUAUCAGCUUGUUGGUGGGGUGAUGGCCCACCAAGGCGGUGACGGGUAGCCGGCCUGAGAGGGUGGGCGGCCACACUGGGACUGAGACACGGCCCAGACUCCUGCGGGAGGCAGCAGUGGGGGGUAUUGCACAAUGGGCGGAAGCCUGAUGCAGCGACGUCGCGUGAGGGAUGGAGGCCUUCGGGUUGUGAACCUCUUUCUCCGGGGGUGAAGGCCCUGUCCGUUGCGGCGGGGUUGACGGUAGCCGGGUAUGAAGCGCCGGCUAACUACGUG